Molecule: ribosomal RNA, 562 nt
Filed under: uncultured bacterium
Lineage: Bacteria
Description: partial 16S ribosomal RNA
Rfam family: Bacterial small subunit ribosomal RNA
Source: RNAcentral
UAGGGAAUCUUGCGCAAUGGGCGAAAGCCUGACGCAGCCAUGCCGCGUGAAUGAUGAAGGUCUUAGGAUUGUAAAAUUCUUUCACCGGGGAAGAUAAUGACGGUACCCGGAGAAGAAGCCCCGGCUAACUUCGUGCCAGCAGCCGCGGUAAUACGAAGGGGGCUAGCGUUGCUCGGAAUUACUGGGCGUAAAGGGCGCGUAGGCGGAUAUCUAAGUUGGGGGUGAAAGCCCGGGGCUCAACCUCGGAAUAGCCUUCAAUACUGGAUAUCUUGAGUUCGGGAGAGGUGAGUGGAAUGCCGAGUGUAGAGGUGAAAUUCGUAGAUAUUCGGCGGAACACCAGUGGCGAAGGCGACUCACUGGCCCGAUACUGACGCUGAGGCGCGAAAGCGUGGGGAGCAAACAGGAUUAGAUACCCUGGUAGUCCACGCCGUAAACGAUGAGUGCUAGUUGUCGGCAUGCAUGCAUGUCGGUGACGCAGCUAACGCAUUAAGCACUCCGCCUGGGGAGUACGGUCGCAAGAUUAAAACUCAAAGGAAUUGACGGGGGUCAUAGCUGUUUCCUG